Molecule: ribosomal RNA, 256 nt
Filed under: uncultured Actinomycetales bacterium
Lineage: Bacteria; Bacillati; Actinomycetota; Actinomycetes; Actinomycetales
Description: partial 16S ribosomal RNA
Rfam family: Bacterial small subunit ribosomal RNA
Source: RNAcentral
CUUUUGUGGGGUGCUCGAGUGGCGAACGGGUGAGUAACACGUGAGUAACCUGCCCUUGACUUUGGGAUAACUUCAGGAAACUGGGGCUAAUACCGGAUAGGAGCUCCUGCUGCAUGGUGGGGGUUGGAAAGUUUCGGCGGUUGGGGAUGGACUCGCGGCUUAUCAGCUUGUUGGUGGGGUAGUGGCCUACCAAGGCUUUGACGGGUAGCCGGCCUGAGAGGGUGACCGGCCACAUUGGGACUGAGAUACGGCCCAG